AAAGGGCCAUAAAAAAUGCGAAACUCGAUUAUACUAUCGGCAGACAAUCGAUUGCGGUGGUCCGAUUAUCAAUAGUGAAUUUUUAGUCUGAUACCCAACACUAGAUACAAUACAAACUGUAGCUAUAACAAAGAUAAAUUUAACAUAAAAAUGAUAUCUCUAUAGUUAGGUUGUUCUCAUGUAGAACAGUUUCAAAUAUAACUUUCCAUAACAUAGCUUUCUUUUGUAACAAAUGAGAUAAAAAAAGUUUGCUCUUUCUUGAAAAAGAAAAAAAAAAAAUUCCUGAAAUUGACCAGCUACUAGUAUCUCUUUCAGAAAAAAUGUUGGCAUGUUUGUCAAAACUUCACAACUGCCUCUAGUACUAGUACCACUUUUCUGAGACAGUAAUUCAGUAUCAGUUUUUGCAUAAUGACUGCGGUACCAGUGCCAGUAAUGUAUGUCUGCCACAGAAAUAUUUUAUAGAAAAAGUACAUUGACGAUUUUUGUAUAAGGAAAUGUAUGCACCUUCCGUGUGGAAUUGUUUUAAAUGAUUUAAUACAUUCUAAUUUCAGUUAUAUUGUCUAAGCCAGAUGAAAACAAGAAACGACUGAGCAAAAUACCAACUUCCCGAUCAAAGCUUGCACCUAAAAUCAGCGAGGGAGCUUUCUCUAACAUUAUGACAGUGCGGUCAAGUUUGGAGGAGGCAGGGAGGCACCAAGUCACUCAUCAAGUUAAAAAUUUAAAGACAGGCGGGUCCAACACUAUGCUCAAUAAACUUGUGAAUGGACAAAAAAUAAACUUAACUUUCAAAGCAGUAUCAUAAAAAUAUGCAUUCAUUGUGUCGCCUCUACGGAGUAGUGGCGACAUAUAGGGAUCACUUCUCCGUCGUCUGUCUGUCCGUCCGUCUGUCCGUCACAAAACUUGUCGGGACUACUCCUCAUAAACAAAUGGUCUAAUUUCAUCCAAACUUUACAGGAAUGAUCAGUACCAAGUCUAGUUGUGCAUAUAGUCAGCAUUUUCCGGUUCAAUGAUUUUUGUCAGAGUUAUGGCCCUUUAAUAAUUUUUAUUUUUAAAGUUUGUCCGGACUACUUCUCUUAUACCACUAAUGCGAUUUCAAUGAAACUUCACAGGAUUGAUCUGUAGCUCAAGUCCUUGCGCGUAUUGCACGGUUUUUCCGGUUGAAUGAUUUUUGGCCGAUUUAUGGCCCUUUGAUAAAAAGGUGUUUUUUUCUGUGUGUUGCCAGAUACACAAAAGCUUGUCCGAACUACUCCUCAUAAACUAGUCUACUGGUGUAAUUUUAUCCAAACUUUACAGGAAUGAUCAGUACCAAGUCUAGUUGUGCACUGUCCGUCUGUCUAUCUGUCUGUCACAAAACUUGUCCCAACAUGAAAUUGGCCAUCAUGAAAUUGGCGACACAUAUGAUGUGAUCACUGAUCGCUCUUGUUUGAUACUAGGGCUUUGUUAAACAUAGAUUAAAUAGGCACCUAAUAGAAACUAGUCAAACUUACUGCCCAGCUAUGUGUAAAGAAAAACUUAAAUAGAAAUUCGAUUAAAGCUGCAGGCCUUUUUAUAUGCUGUGAAGGAUACACAUCUAGUGCAACCUAGCCUAGGGCAACUUAUAGUAUUUUAUAUGUCGUUAAAAUAUAAGCAGUCAUAAAUGAUGUAAAUUUUAGGAGAUGAAAAUGCUAAAUUCUGACCUAUUCGGCAUAGUGUAAUAAGUGCUAAAAGUUUCAUUGUAAAUAUUUACAAACUUUUUAAUUUCUUUCAGAUGUUAUUAAUUGUAAUUCUGAGAGUAAACUGUAUUGUCUUUAUUAUGAAAGUGACAUGGAAUGUUUUAUUUGUCCGAUUAAAAAAUAUUGCUGAUUGUGAUGAACUUUUUACUAACGUUAUACAUGUAGUGAUAUUUUUGUUUGUUUAUCUUUCAUUAUUUAAUUCUUAUAUUAAUUAUGAUCUCUUAUAUAUCUACACAAUGUUGAAUUUUAAUAAAACAGUUAACAAUUA
Long non-coding RNA from Ruditapes philippinarum (Manila clam), 1980 nucleotides. RefSeq lists it as uncharacterized. The record is from RefSeq and is a predicted model, not a curated record. NCBI's taxonomy places the organism in Eukaryota, Metazoa, Mollusca, Bivalvia, Venerida, Veneridae. The transcript has 2 exons.